This 242-nucleotide ribosomal RNA is filed under the name uncultured bacterium. RNAcentral's name for it is "partial 16S ribosomal RNA". It matches the Rfam family "Bacterial small subunit ribosomal RNA", at positions 118 to 348 of the family's 1533-position model. The record is from RNAcentral.
UGGGUAACCUGCCUCAAAGAGGGGAAUAGCCUCCCGAAAGGGAGAUUAAUACCGCAUAAUAUGUUUAGGUCGCAUGACUUUAACAUCAAAGGAUUUUCUUUUAGAAAUUCCACUUUGAGAUGGACCCGCGGCGCAUUAGCUAGUUGGUGUGGUAACGGCUCACCAAGGCAACGAUGCGUAGCCGACCUGAGAGGGUGAUCGGCCACAUUGGAACUGAGACACGGUCCAGACUCCGUAGGAGG